RNAcentral lists this ribosomal RNA (301 nucleotides) under uncultured bacterium. RNAcentral describes it as "partial 16S ribosomal RNA". It matches the Rfam family "Bacterial small subunit ribosomal RNA", at positions 509 to 808 of the family's 1533-position model. The record is from RNAcentral.
CAGCAGCCGCGGUAAUACGAGGGGGGCAAGCGUUGUUCGGAAUUAUUGGGCGUAAAGGGUGCGUAGGCGGUUUGGCAAGUUUGGUGUGAAAUCUUCGGGCUCAACUCGAAGUCUGCAUCGAAAACUGCCGGGCUUGAGUAUGGGAGAGGUGAGUGGAAUUUCCGGUGUAGCGGUGAAAUGCGUAGAUAUCGGAAGGAACACCUGUGGCGAAAGCGGCUCACUGGACCAUAACUGACGCUGAUGCACGAAAGCUAGGGGAGCAAACAGGAUUAGAUACCCCCGUAGUCCCUGUCCUUAUACA